AAAUUGAAGAGUUUGAUCAUGGCUCAGAUUGAACGCUGGCGGCAGGCCUAACACAUGCAAGUCGAACGGUAGCACAGAGAGCUUGCUCUCGGGUGACGAGUGGCGGACGGGUGAGUAAUGUCUGGGAAACUGCCUGAUGGAGGGGGAUAACUACUGGAAACGGUGGCUAAUACCGCAUAACGUCGCAAGACCAAAGAGGGGGACCUUCGGGCCUCUUGCCAUCAGAUGUGCCCAGAUGGGAUUAGCUUGUUGGUGAGGUAACGGCUCACCAAGGCGACGAUCCCUAGCUGGUCUGAGAGGAUGACCAGCCACACUGGAACUGAGACACGGUCCAGACUCCUACGGGAGGCAGCAGUGGGGAAUAUUGCACAAUGGGCGCAAGCCUGAUGCAGCCAUGCCGCGUGUAUGAAGAAGGCCUUCGGGUUGUAAAGUACUUUCAGCGGGGAGGAAGGUGUUGUGGUUAAUAACCACAGCAAUUGACGUUACCCGCAGAAGAAGCACCGGCUAACUCCGUGCCAGCAGCCGCGGUAAUACGGAGGGUGCAAGCGUUAAUCGGAAUUACUGGGCGUAAAGCGCACGCAGGCGGUCUGUCAAGUCGGAUGUGAAAUCCCCGGGCUCAACCUGGGAACUGCAUUCGAAACUGGCAGGCUUGAGUCUUGUAGAGGGGGGUGGAAUUCCAGGUGUAGCGGUGAAAUGCGUAGAGAUCUGGAGGAAUACCGGUGGCGAAGGCGGCCCCCUGGACAAAGACUGACGCUCAGGUGCGAAAGCGUGGGGAGCAAACAGGAUUAGAUACCCUGGUAGUCCACGCCGUAAACGAUGUCUACUUGGAGGUUGUGCCCUUGAGGCGUGGCUUCCGGAGCUAACGCGUUAAGUAGACCGCCUGGGGAGUACGGCCGCAAGGUUAAAACUCAAAUGAAUUGACGGGGGCCCGCACAAGCGGUGGAGCAUGUGGUUUAAUUCGAUGCAACGCGAAGAACCUUACCUGGUCUUGACAUCCACGGAAGUUUUCAGAGAUGAGAAUGUGCCUUCGGGAACCGUGAGACAGGUGCUGCAUGGCUGUCGUCAGCUCGUGUUGUGAAAUGUUGGGUUAAGUCCCGCAACGAGCGCAACCCUUAUCCUUUGUUGCCAGCGAUUAGG
RNAcentral lists this ribosomal RNA (1137 nucleotides) under Salmonella enterica subsp. enterica. RNAcentral describes it as "bacterial SSU rRNA". It matches the Rfam family "Bacterial small subunit ribosomal RNA", at positions 1 to 1129 of the family's 1533-position model. Lineage: Bacteria; Pseudomonadati; Pseudomonadota; Gammaproteobacteria; Enterobacterales; Enterobacteriaceae. The record is from RNAcentral.